CCCACACCCCUGUGUCACGACAGGCCCCUCCCACAUCCCUGUGUCACACUGGGCCCCUCCCACACCCUUUUGUGACAACACGCCCCUCCCUCACUCAUGUGUCACACUGAGCCCCUCCCACACCCUUGUGUCACAACACGCCCCUCCCUCACUCAUGUGUCACUCUGAGCCCCUCCCCUCAUCGUGUCAUAUGGAUUCCCUCUCCCACUGUGUCAUAUAGAGCCCUUCCCUCACUCAUGUGUCACACUGAGUCCCUCCCAGACCCUGUGUCACAACACGCCCCUCCCUCACUCGUGUGUCACACAGAGCCCCUCCCCUCAUCAUGUGUCAUAUGGAUUCCCUCUCCCACUGUGUCAUAUAGAGCCCCUCCCUCACUCAUUUGUCACACUGAGUCCCUCCCACACCCCUGUGUCACAACACGCCCCUCCCACACCCUUGUGUCACAACAUGCCUCUCCCACACCCCUGUGUCACAACACACCCCUCCCACACCCUUGUGUCACAACAUGCCUCUCCCACACCCCUGUGCCACAACAUGCCCCUCCCUCACUCAAGUGACACAGUGAGCCCCUCCCCUAAUCAUGUAUCAUAUGGAUUCCCUCUCCCACUAAUGUGUCAUAUAGAGCCCCUCCCUCACUCAUUUGUCACACUGAGUCCCUCCCACACCCCUGUGUCACAACACGCCUCUCCCACACCCCUGUGUCACAACACACCGCUCACACACCCUUGUGUCACAACACGCCCCUCCCUCCCUCGUCACACUGAGUCCCUCCCACACGCUUGUGUCACAACAUGCCCCUCCCACACCCUUGUGUCACAACAUGCCCCUCCCUCACUCGUGUGUCACACAGAACCCCUCCCACACCCCUGUGUCACAACACGCCCCUCCCUCACUCAUGUGUCACACUGAGUCCCUCCCUAACCCUUGUGUCACAACAUGCCUCUCUGUCACUCAUUUGUCACACUAGCCCCUCCCACACCCUUGUGUCACAACACGCCUCUCCGUCACUCAUUUGUCACACUGAACCCCUCCCACACCCUUGUGUCACAACACGCCCCUCCCUCACUCAUGUGUCACACUGAGUCCCGCCCACACCCUUGUGUCACAACACGCCCCUCCCUCACUCAUGUGUCACUGAGUCCCGCCCACACCCUUGUGUCUCAACACGCCCCUCCCUCACUCAUGUGUCACACUGAUCCCUCCCACACCCUUGUGUCACAACACGCCCCUCCCUCACUCAUGUGUCACACUGAACCCCUCCCACACCCCUGUGUCACAACACGCCCCUCCCGCACUCAUGUGUCACACUGAGCCCCUCCCACACCCGUGUCACAACACGCCCCUCCUGCACUCAUGUAUCACACUGAGCCCCUCCCAUACCCUUGUGUCACAACAUGCCCCUCACACACCCUUGUGUCACAACACGCCCCUCCCUCACCCGUGUCACGCUGAGCCCCUCCCACACCCUUGUGUCAGAACACGCCCCUCCCACACCCCUGUGUUACAUGCCUCUCCCUCACCCAUGGGUCACACUGAGCCCCUCCCACACCCCUGUGUCAGAACACGCCCCUCCCUCCCUCAUGUGUCACCCUGAACCCCUCCCACACCCCUGUCACAAUACGCCCCUCCCUCACUCGUGUGUCACACUCAACCCCUCCCACACCCUUGUGUCACACUGAGCCCCUCCCCUCAUCACGGAUCAUAUGGAUUCCCUCUCCCGCUGUGUCAUACAGAGCCCCUCACUAACUCAUGUGUCACACUGAGUCCCUCCCACACCCCUGUCACAACGCGCCCCUCCCUCACCCAUGUGUCACGUUGAUCUCCUUCUCUAUUCACGUAUCGUAUGGAGUCCCUUUCUUACUCAAGUAUCAUACAGAGCCCCUCCCUCCCUCAUGUGUCACACUGAGCCCCUCCCCUCCUCAUGUGUCACAUGGAGUCCCUCUCCCACUCAUGUCACACUGAGUCCCUGCCUCACUCAUGUGCUGCACUUAUUACCCCUGACUCGUGUCACAUAGAGCCUCUCCUCAACCCAUUUGUCACACUAAACCCUGUACCCGUGUGUCACACUGAGUCCCUCCUUACUCAUUUGUUAUAUGGAGCCCCUCCCCCACUCAUGUGUUACAUGUAGCCCCUCCCCACCCUUGUGACACAUGGAGCCAUCUCCACUCACGUGUCACAUGGAGGCCCUCCCCUACAUAUGUUGCAUGGAGCUCCUCUCUUACCCAUGUGUCACAUGCAGCUCCUCAUCCACCCAUGUGUCACGUGGAGCCCUCCCCCAACACAUGUUACAUGGAGGGCCUCCCCAAUGUGUAUUGCAUGGAGCCACUCCGUUACCCUUGUGUCAUAUGGAGUCCUUUCCCCACCCAUGUGUCACAUGGAGCCCUCCUCACUCACGUGUCACGUGGAGGCUCUUCCUUAAGUGUGUCGCAUGGAGCCACUCCAAUGCCUGUGUGUCACAUGGAGCCAUUCUCUACCGUGUGUCACAUGGAGCCCCUCCCCCAGCCAUGUGUCACAUGGAACCCCUUCCCCACCACGUGUCACAUGGAGCCCUUCGCCCCACCACGUGUCACAUGGAGCCCCUUCCCCACCACGUGUCACAUGAAGCCCCUUCCCCACCACGUGUCACAUGGAGCCCCUCCCCCACCACGUGUCACAUGGAGCCCCUUCCCCACCACGUGUCACAUGGAGCCCUUCACCCCCUCCCUCGCCUUCCCCCCUCCUGUCCCCAGUUCUCCUUAGGGCCAGAACUCCGCACCCUGGAGCUUUUCUUCCAUGUGCUGUUUAGGGGAUCUUCUGUCAUUAAGUCAUUAAUUCAGCAAUAACGGUGUUAUUGAACACCUACCGUGUGCCAGGCCGUGCAUCUGUGGGAGAGUGUGUUGAUGGUGCUGGUGGCUGCUGAGUCUGUGGCGAGGCCUGCAGCAGGGGAAGGCGGGCACGGUGGUCAAGAAAGAUGGGCAGGGACCAGGGAAGCUCUUUAUUUUUUAAAAACAACUUUAUUGGAUAUCUGCAUGCACGCAGUCCAGCCCCUGAAGUGCACAUGUCCGUGGUUUCAGUUUAUUCACAGAUACAGGCAACCAUCAGCAAUUCGGUUUUGGAGUCGUUCUGUCAUUUAUCCUGUAGCCUUUACCUGUCACCCCAUCUCCCCCUCCCCCAUCCUCCGACCCUGAGUAACCCCUGGCUGCUUUUUGUCUCAGGGAAACUAACCUCCUCUUGGGCUCAGUGACACCUCACUAGCUUCCCAGAGGUGUCCUGACACAGACGGUGAGGCAGGAAAAGUGGCCGGGAGUAGAAAGCUGCAGAGGGGGGAAAUCCGAGCCCCUGAUGCCCACUCACAGCUCCUGUGCCAGCUCAGGUCUGCUGCCCCUGGGGUCCCCAGGCUCCAUGCCCUAGCCUGUCUCCACAGCCUCCUGAGGCCUCCCUGUGGAGCCCAGCUAAGGGAGACCCAGGCCCUGGCCAGAGGAGGCAGCGGCAGGCCGCGGUCGGGCGAGGCACGCAGGCACCACCGUGCUGCAGGUCCCCAGCGGCGGGCAGUGCCGCCUGGGCUGGCUGUCCCUUACCGUCACUGCUGUCACCACGAGCAGCUGCUAGUGGCAGGUCCCACCUGCCGUCCGGGGUGCACACAAUGCUUCCGGGAGGAGGGUCGCGGCCGUAGUCAGUAGGUGGGGGGUGAGAACGGCUUCAUACAGGAGCUGAUGCGCAGUUACCCAGCUCCUAUGAGAUGCCUUUCCUCACCCCUUCACCUCGCGCAGCCCCCGGGCCCUCCUCGGCACCCCCGGCUGCACAGGGGUGCGUCUUCGAGCUUGCUGCUGCCCCGCCUCCACCUGGCGAGCUCCUCUCUCUCUCUCUCUUCUGCAGCUCCCCAGCUCCUGGAGGUGAGGGCCGGAGCCCCCGGGCCGUCUCUGAGGCCCCCCUCUCAGAGGGAAGGCUGGGUCCCCUGUGGGAUACUCCCCAGGGCUGGGCACUUGGUGGCCAUGAGCAGACAGGCCAGAGAUGGAGAUAGGGCCGGCCCUGGGGCUUUUGCCUGCUGUUGAUGGGGCUGCGGCUGUGCUCCCAUAGGCAGCCCUCUGAGGGGACCCAGCUCCCAGGACACAUGGGCAGGCUUUGCAGGGACGUGCCCUUUGUUCCCAGGACUGGGGGGCGCGGCUUGGACAGAGCAGGCUGACCCUUCCCACUGCCACAGGAGGAGGGUCUCCUUGAGGGGCCUUAGCCUCUACCCAGGAUUCUUUCAUGACCAGGAGGCUGAGGCCCCUCACAGGCGGCUGCUUACUCUCUCCCUAAACCGGGUCUGGAGACACUCCCAGCUUCCCAUGGAUUCCCGACUCUGGGUCCGGCCUCCCUGAGCCAGAGGCUGUCAGCAGGUGCCCCCUUCUUCCCCUUGUCCUGCCCUGCCCAGGCUGGGUGCCUGAGGGCACUAGACCAGUGUCCCCCUGUGCCAUGGCCCUCGUCUUUUGUGUCCCCCACUAACUCAGGUCCUGUGCAUGGUGGGAGGUGACCUGUGCCAAGCCCCUGUGCUACUGGAAUCAUUAACCCAUUGACCAGCCAUGGCAGCCAGCCCAGGCACACGCAUGGGGUGGCAGCGUAGGGGGAGGCCUUGCCCACAGCGUGAUGCCCUUAGAGUGGGACAGGAGGGGCUGGAUUUCCGUCUCCCUUCCCCUGCCUCCUAACUCUUGACCCCUUCUUUACCCCCCAUCCCCCACCCCGGUCCUGCACCUCCCCCCUCUGCCCAUCUUCAUACCUUUUAUCCUUCACAGCAUCAGGAGGUCCUUGUUGUUCAGGAAGGCCUUUCUGACCAGGGAAUAGCUUGAACAAAGGCAGGGGGACUUCAGGAGUGGUGGGAGUAUGUUGUGUGUGCCCUUGUUGGGUCAAGUGGGUCAGAACAAGACAUGACACAGGGAAGACUGAGGUCCUGGGAGGCCUCAGUGUCAGCCAAAGGAAGGCCUUUCACCUACUCAGGAAUGCCCUUGGGGAUAUAUAAGAGCUCCGAGGGGUGGACAGUAUGUGACACACGGUUGGCGGUGGUUCUCCAGCCUCCCGGGCACCAGGGCCCUGAAUCUCCAUGUUUGACAAGCUCCCCAGUGACUGCCCAGGGCCGCGCUUUGAGAAGCGCCUGUAGGAAGUGGUCGGAACACGGCGCUGCCGUCUCCGUGCUCCUGCCUCCACUAACCUGCUGGCCCGCCACCGCCGAGGCCGGCCACACUUGCUCUGUCCUCUUUUCUGGGGCUGCUCUUCUUUACCCUUGGGCUUUGGCUGCCUGGGUAGCUGUUGAAAUCUUAGGUUGAAGGCGUUUCAGAAAUGUAUCCUCUGUUGUGGAAGACCCUGCGUAGGGGCCAGGAUGAGGGUCCCAGUUAGGGCCCAGAGCACCUCUUAGUGGUGCCCAUCGGCCCGGCAGCAGGGCCUGGGUGUGGGGGGCAGGGUGUGGGGGGUGUGGGAAUGGCGCCCCGGUGGGCGAGGAGGAGACUUCAGGUUUCUGCUAGCCUAGCUCCCCCCACACCCCCUAGCACAGGGUGGGGCAGCACGGCGGGGGGCUGCAUCAGAGGCCCCUAAUUGGACCUGCGGCCGCCAGCGGGAGGGAUGGACACACCUGGACCUGAGUGGUGAGUAGCCGUCAGCUGCCUGGGAGUGUUGCAUGGCCCAGAGACAGGCCCAGCGUGCUCCAGGCCUGCGGGCUGGAGCGCUAGGGGCAUCUGUGG
This 5690-nucleotide long non-coding RNA is filed under the name Equus caballus (horse). RNAcentral describes it as "lncRNA (ENSECAG00000027765.3)". The stretch from base 4189 to 4260 matches the Rfam family "mir-665 microRNA precursor family". The record is from RNAcentral. Lineage: Eukaryota; Metazoa; Chordata; Mammalia; Perissodactyla; Equidae.